Molecule: RNA transcript, 1705 nt
Organism: Diospyros lotus (date-plum)
Lineage: Eukaryota; Viridiplantae; Streptophyta; Magnoliopsida; Ericales; Ebenaceae
Exons: 3
Source: RefSeq, a predicted model, not a curated record
UGAGGGUCAUGUUCACCCGGUUAAAAAGGGGUGAACAAAAUUGCACUCAUGAACGAAGAUUGAAGAGGCGGGAAAUGAAAUGUUUGUAGCAGACAGAAGAUUGGGGAAAGCCAAAGCAAACUCACCCUCAUCCCCGUGCGACCUGCGAUUGAAUUGAAACCACCCAAAUCUCCCCCAUUCCUCACGCCAUUUCAGCCUCUGCGGACACCGAAGCCCUGGCGUAGAACCCUCUCUAUCAGACCAUCACCAUUCACAGCUCAUCUUCUGCAAAGACGGAAACGUCAGACCCCACCUCACUAGCCCUAUCUGCGCCGGUCGGAUUCAGAGACGCCAUCAACGUCGGGGUCGCUCUCAGAGGCAUAAUCAAGGUGUUGACAUGGAAUGAUGGGAUUGGUCAAUUCUUCAUAAAUGAGAUUAGAUGGACCAAUUAAAAGCACCCAUGCCUGCAUGUUUUGGCUUCAAAAUUGAUUUUUUUUAGUUUAAAUAAAUAUAUAAAACUAUACAAAAACUUUUUGGUAGAAUUCUAUUAUUUUUCUAUAAUAUAUUGACAAAUGUUUCGAAACACUCGGAGUAGGUUUAGGAACUUCUUAAAUAGUAACAUGUUUCGAAACUUUUAUACGCAGGUUUCAGAACAUGUCUAAAAUAUACAUGUUUUGAAACAAUAUACAGGUGUUCUGAAAUGUGUUUCAAAAUACCUAAACAAAGUUUCGAAACUUUUAUCAAAAUUUCAAAAAGAAACAUUUUUGUCCAUAAUAAAAAAAUAUACUACAACACAAAUUACCUGGCUUGGAAUUUGGUGCCAAAAAGCAAUAUGGAUGAGCUGUGGGAGAUAAUAGAGGUACAAAUAUGCAUGUGAUUGAUGUAUAUAGCUUUUUCAUUGAUCGAAAAAUCAAUCACUGCUUUCUUUGUAGUCAAAGUUCACCUUUGAGCCACACCUAACUGAAGUAGCCAAGAAAUCAAUAACAAAGGAUAUGCACGAAAACUUGAUAAGAUGGGAUUGUGAGAUAAAGUGCAAAUGUUCUGAUAAAGAUAUGACUGCGGAACAAAUGGUGGCAUGCAUGGAUGACCCUCUAGUGAACAAAGAUCAAUUCAAUGGGCUUGUUCGCCAUUGGUGCUCUGAUGAAGAAGGGAAGUUUUCUUUACUCUAGGUGUAUUCAGUGAAUUGUUUGAUGGGCUUGGCAUGCUUUGGUGAGAAACUUGGAAGAACUGUAGUUUAGAGCAAAAAGGUACCCUUGUCCUGGCAUGGGAAAAAUCAAGAUUGGCCAUAGGAUGUGGAAUUUUUUUAUAUAUUCUCAGAAGAUGCUGCUGAAAAAAAUUCAAUAUUGAUCAUUUGUUGUCUGAGACAUAUCCGAUGAACUACUGUUAUGUUUCAAUACGUUUCAAUGUUGCCAGGAUGAUGAUCUCAAAACUUACAUAUAUUUUGAGAUGUUGAAGGUUGGAACAUACUUUGGAUGAAAGAAAUAUAUAUUUCUUUCUAGAUUUUAUGUGUAUGAGUAUAUCAGCAGCAGGCUUAAAUAUAUGAGCGAAACAGUAAAUAGUGUUAAUUGUAAUUUGUUGUUAAAUAAUAUUCUUCCAUCUGUUUAUUUUCAUAUCCAAUUUUUAUUUCAUUCAUUAUCUUCCAUUGGAGACCCAAAAAAAGAAAAAAGGCCCACCUGAUAGAGAGAGCAUUUUGUUGGGGUUGGAGCUCAUUUUGGUUGUGGGCCAG